GGGAGGGGGCUCCUGGACCCAGAUUCUAUUUUUCCAGAGGACAGAGGCUGCAUCUGGAGCCCUGAGUCUGAUUCAGAGAAUUCACCCCUGGGUCACAAGGGCAGGGUUCACACUGGGCACGUGACUCUCUUUUGAACCACACAAACACAAUCCAGGUGCUGUCGUCAUGCAAUAUGCCUCUCCCUGGGCACAUCUGGAUAAUUCUACUUCUAAGAGGUAUUCCAAGUUCCUUUAUUUCCCCCUCCACCCUGUUAGCCCAAGCCACCAUCAUCUCUCACCUGAGCCAAAGUUCUUCUGUCUUCCCACUUCUACUCCUGCCUGCUCAAAACCAGAGGGACUUAUAUUUAAAAAGAUAAAAUAUAAUCUCAUCAGGCCACCCCACCUCCUCCUGCCUGCCCCCCACCUUCCUUGUAAUGCCAGUCCCACCUCCCGGAUCUAUGCAAUUUGUUUUCUCUGCAAUCACUCCUGAUCCCCCGUUCUUCCUCUGGCUACUCCUACCCAUCCUCCAGGUGUUGGCUCACACUCUAAAGGAGGGUACAAGAAAUAUCACAUGUCCUUCAAGUCUUUUUGGCCUCACUGUGCACCACUGAAGCUGUCGUCAUGGAGCGUUCUUUCCUUCUCUUAGGGCCUCGCCAGCAUUUAGGAUGCUCAUGAAUGACCCGGAACAUGAGUAAGGACCUCUACUGGCACUCUCCGUCCACCUGGGUCACUGCUCCUGUCCUCACUGCCAACGCUGAGGGGCCCUUGAAGGAGGUGAUUCCAAUGCUGCAGGAUCUUGGCCUUGGCUGGAAGACUCAGAAUUGAGCUUCAGGUCUCUUUUUGGGCGCACCCCAAACCAUGUUACUGAAUACCACCAGUGACUGGGCACAGCUUUCUACUCCUAAAAGGCUCCUUCUCUCCUUCCCUGCUUCCCAAACAAGAGGCAGGCUUGUUUUGGGGCAUGUCUGCUUUCUGCUAUGGACAGGAAGCAUAAAGGGCCUGGCCACUUCCUUGGAGAGUGAGAAACAUUCAGAAACACAAUUCAACUUCAAAUUACGUGCUAGAAAAGCUACUUAUCAGAUCUACCCAUAAUGGCCCAAUCUGAAUGAGAUCCCCCCAGUCAGGGCCCAGACCCGCUUUACCUGGUCUGUGUGCCCAUUCCCUGGAUACUGUGUUGGCGGCGUCUCAGGGCUGCACUGUUCUCUGCAGAGCCACAUCCCCUGACCAACAGGCAUACUGCGUAAAAGGCCUAGUCUCCGGUCUCAAAGUGGGACAACUCUUGGUGCCACCAUUUUCACAGCUGUUGUGGGGUCUGCCGUAGGCUAGACUUCAGCUGAAGUCACAUCUUUGCUCACCUUUCCCCUUGCCCUAUCCUGCUGCUCCCGAGCACAGCAGCCUCUAGAAAUCCUUUGCACGAGAAACUCUGCCUCAGGCUUUGCACCCAAGUAACAUCCAAUUUUCCUUCCUAGAAUGUCACAAUUUGAAAUUAUGACUUUGUAUGGCUCCUGGUUCAACGCUUGUUUAUCCUACUAAACAAAGGCAGAGGCCCUGUUUAUUUUGUCCAUUGUUGUAUUCCCAGCACGAAGCCUGUGCCUCCCAAACAGAACACACACAUGCUUUCACCUGGAUGUUUGGAUCACAGGAGAGUUGUUACACAAGGUUCCUACUGAAAUCCC
Molecule: long non-coding RNA, 1655 nt
Organism: Myotis davidii
Lineage: Eukaryota; Metazoa; Chordata; Mammalia; Chiroptera; Vespertilionidae
Exons: 3
Source: RefSeq, a predicted model, not a curated record